UGGGGAAUUUUGGACAGUGGGCGAAAGCCUGAUCCAGCAAUGCCGCGUGUGUGAAGAAGGCCUUCGGGUUGUAAAGCACUUUUGUCCGGAAAGAAAUCCUUGGCUCUAAUACAGUCGGGGGAUGACGGUACCGGAAGAAUAAGCACCGGCUAACUACGUGCCAGCAGCCGCGGUAAUACGUAGGGUGCAAGCGUUAAUCGGAAUUACUGGGCGUAAAGCGUGCGCAGGCGGUUUGCUAAGACCGAUGUGAAAUCCCCCGGGCUCAACCUGGGAACUGCAUUGGUGACUGGCAGGCUAGAGUAUGGCAGAGGGGGGUAGAAUUCCACGUGUAGCAGUGAAAUGCGUAGAGAUGUGGAGGAAUACCGAUGGCGAAGGCAGCCCCCCUGGGCCAAUACUGACGCUCAUGCACGAAAGCGUGGGGAGCAAACAGGAUUAGAUACCCUGGUAGUCCACGCCCUAAACGAUGUCAACUAGUUGUUGGGGAUUCAUUUCCUUAGUAACGUA
Molecule: ribosomal RNA, 504 nt
Filed under: uncultured bacterium
Lineage: Bacteria
Description: partial 16S ribosomal RNA
Rfam family: Bacterial small subunit ribosomal RNA
Source: RNAcentral